AUUGAACGCUGGCGGCAGGCCUAACACAUGCAAGUCGAGCGGAUGAAGGGAGCUUUUUCCUGUAUUCAGCUGCGGACGGGUGAGUAAUGCCUAGGAAUCUGCCUUGUAUUUGGGGAUAACGUCCGUAAACGGGCGCUAAUACCGCAUACGUUCUGAGGGUGAAAGGGGGGGAUCUUCGGACCUCACGCUAUUAGAUGAGCCUAGGUCGGAUUAGCUAGUUGGUGGGGUAAAGGCCUACCAAGGCGACGAUCCGUAACUGGUCUGAGAGGAUGAUCAGCCACACUGGAACUGAGACACGGUCCAGACUCCUACGGGAGGCAGCAGUGGGGAAUAUUCGACAAUGGGCGAAAGCCUGAUCCAGCCAUGCCGCGUGUGUGAAGAAGGUCUUCGGAUUGUAAAGCACUUUAAGUUGGGAGGAAGGGCAGUAAGUUAAUCCCUUGCUGUUUUGACGGUACCAACAGAAUAAGCACCGGCUAACUUCGUG
This 484-nucleotide ribosomal RNA is filed under the name uncultured bacterium. RNAcentral's name for it is "partial 16S ribosomal RNA". It matches the Rfam family "Bacterial small subunit ribosomal RNA", at positions 30 to 507 of the family's 1533-position model. The record is from RNAcentral.